AUUGAACGCUGGCGGCAGGCCUAACACAUGCAAGUCGAGCGGACGAAGGGAGCUUGCUCCUGGAUUCAGCGGCGGACGGGUGAGUAAUGCCUAGGAAUCUGCCUGGUAGUGGGGGAUAACGUCCGGAAACGGGAGCUAAUACCGCAUACGUCCUGAGGGAGAAAGUGGGGGAUCUUCGGACCUCACGCUAUCAGAUGAGCCUAGGUCGGAUUAGCUAGUUGGUGGGGUAAAGGCCUACCAAGGCGACGAUCCGUAACUGGUCUGAGAGGAUGAUCAGUCACACUGGAACUGAGACACGGUCCAGACUCCUACGGGAGGCAGCAGUGGGGAAUAUUGGACAAUGGGCGAAAGCCUGAUCCAGCCAUGCCGCGUGUGUGAAGAAGGUCUUCGGAUUGUAAAGCACUUUAAGUUGGGAGGAAGGGCAGUAAGUUAAUACCUUGCUGUUUUGACGUUACCAACAGAAUAAGCACCGGCUAACUUCGUG
Molecule: ribosomal RNA, 484 nt
Filed under: uncultured bacterium
Lineage: Bacteria
Description: partial 16S ribosomal RNA
Rfam family: Bacterial small subunit ribosomal RNA
Source: RNAcentral